This 291-nucleotide ribosomal RNA is filed under the name uncultured bacterium. RNAcentral describes it as "partial 16S ribosomal RNA". It matches the Rfam family "Bacterial small subunit ribosomal RNA", at positions 505 to 796 of the family's 1533-position model. The record is from RNAcentral.
GUGCCAGCCGCCGCGGUAAUACGGAGGGUGCAAGCGUUGUCCGGAAUCACUGGGCGUAAAGGGUGCGCAGGCGGGGCAGCAAGUCGGAGGUGAAAGCCCAUGGCUCAACCAUGGAAGUGCCUUCGAAACUGUUGCUCUUGAGUCCCGGAGAGGCUGUCGGAAUUCGUGGUGUAGCGGUGAAAUGCGUAGAUAUCACGAGGAACACCAGUGGCGAAGGCGGCCGGCUGGACUGUAACUGACGUUGAGGCACGAAAGCGUGGGGAGCGAACAGGAUUAGAAACCUGGUAGUCU